GAUGGAACUCGCUUCCUGAGCUGACGACAGCCGCAGAAACCAGGCCGCUGCAACUGUUUAUUAAAAACAUAGCACUCUGCAAACACGAAAGUGGACGUAUAGGGUGUGAUGCCUGCCCGGUGCUGGAAGGUUAAUUGAUGGGGUUAGCGUAAGCGAAGCUCUUGAUCGAAGCCCCAGUAAACGGCGGCCGUAACUAUAACGGUCCUAAGGUAGCGAAAUUCCUUGUCGGGUAAGUUCCGACCUGCACGAAUGGCAUAAUGAUGGCGGCGCUGUCUCCAGCAGAGGCUCAGUGAAAUCGAAAUCGCUGUGAAGAUGCAGUGUACCCGCGGCUAGACGGAAAGACCCCGUGAACCUUUACUGCAGCUUGACACUGAACUUUGACCUUACUUGUGUAGGAUAGGUGGGAGGCUUUGAAGCUGGAACGCUAGUUCCAGUGGAGCCGUCCUUGAAAUACCACCCUGGUAAUGUUGAGGUUCUAACUCUGUCCCGUGAUCCGGGACGAGGACCGUGUCUGGUGGGUAGUUUGACUGGGGCGGUCUCCUCCUAAAGAGUAACGGAGGAGUACGAAGGUGCGCUCAGCGUGGUCGGAAAUCACGCGUAGAGUAUAAAGGCAAAAGCGCGCUUAACUGCGAGACCCACAAGUCGAGCAGGUACGAAAGUAGGUCUUAGUGAUCCGGUGGUUCUGUAUGGAAGGGCCAUCGCUCAACGGAUAAAAGGUACUCUGGGGAUAACAGGCUGAUACCGCCCAAGAGUUCAUAUCGACGGCGGUGUUUGGCACCUCGAUGUCGGCUCAUCUCAUCCUGGGGCUGAAGCAGGUCCCAAGGGUAUGGCUGUUCGCCAUUUAAAGAGGUACGCGAGCUGGGUUUAGAACGUCGUGAGACAGUUCGGUCCCUAUCUACCGUGGGCGCUGGAAAUUUGAGAGGAUCUGCUCCUAGUACGAGAGGACCAGAGUGGACGAACCUCUGGUGUACCGGUUGUGACGCCAGUCGCAUCGCCGGGUAGCUAUGUUCGGAAGGGAUAACCGCUGAAAGCAUCUAAGCGGGAAGCCUACCUCAAGAUAAGAUUUCCCUAGGACUUUAUGUCCUCUAAAGAGCCGUUCGAGACUAGGACGUUGAUAGGUUGGAUGUGGAAGCAUAGUGAUAUGUGAAGCUGACCAAUACUAAUUGCUCGUGAGGCUUGACUAU
This 1184-nucleotide ribosomal RNA is filed under the name Acinetobacter baumannii. Its description in RNAcentral is "partial 23S ribosomal RNA". It matches the Rfam family "Bacterial large subunit ribosomal RNA", at positions 1740 to 2925 of the family's 2925-position model. The record is from RNAcentral. Lineage: Bacteria; Pseudomonadati; Pseudomonadota; Gammaproteobacteria; Moraxellales; Moraxellaceae.